This 497-nucleotide ribosomal RNA is filed under the name uncultured bacterium. RNAcentral's name for it is "partial 16S ribosomal RNA". It matches the Rfam family "Bacterial small subunit ribosomal RNA", at positions 28 to 507 of the family's 1533-position model. The record is from RNAcentral.
GAUGAACGCUGGCGGCGUGCCUAAUACAUGCAAGUCGAGCGAACAGACGAGGAGCUUGCUCCUCUGACGUUAGCGGCGGACGGGUGAGUAACACGUGGAUAACCUACCUAUAAGACUGGGAUAACUUCGGGAAACCGGAGCUAAUACCGGAUAAUAUAUUGAACCGCAUGGUUCAAUAGUGAAAGACGGUUUUGCUGUCACUUAUAGAUGGAUCCGCGCCGCAUUAGCUAGUUGGUAAGGUAACGGCUUACCAAGGCAACGAUGCGUAGCCGACCUGAGAGGGUGAUCGGCCACACUGGAACUGAGACACGGUCCAGACUCCUACGGGAGGCAGCGGUAGGGAAUCGUCCGCAAUGGGCGAAAGCCUGACGGAGCAACGCCGCGUGAGUGAUGAAGGUCUUCGGAUCGUAAAACUCUGUUAUUAGGGAAGAACAAAUGUGGAAGUAACUAUGCACGUCUUGACGGUACCUAAUCAGAAAGCAACGGCUAACUACGUG